This 570-nucleotide ribosomal RNA is filed under the name uncultured bacterium. Its description in RNAcentral is "partial 16S ribosomal RNA". It matches the Rfam family "Bacterial small subunit ribosomal RNA", at positions 355 to 918 of the family's 1533-position model. The record is from RNAcentral.
UGGGGAAUUUUGGACAAUGGGCGAAAGCCUGAUCCAGCAAUGCCGCGUGUGUGAAGAAGGCCUUCGGGUUGUAAAGCACUUUUGUCCGGAAAGAAAUCCUUGGCUCUAAUACAGUCGGGGGAUGACGGUACCGGAAGAAUAAGCACCGGCUAACUACGUGCCAGCAGCCGCGGUAAUACGUAGGGUGCAAGCGUUAAUCGGAAUUACUGGGCGUAAAGCGUGCGCAGGCGGUUUGCUAAGACCGAUGUGAAAUCCCCGGGCUCAACCUGGGAACUGCAUUGGUGACUGGCAGGCUAGAGUAUGGCAGAGGGGGGUAGAAUUCCACGUGUAGCAGUGAAAUGCGUAGAGAUGUGGAGGAAUACCGAUGGCGAAGGCAGCCCCCUGGGCCAAUACUGACGCUCAUGCACGAAAGCGUGGGGAGCAAACAGGAUUAGAUACCCUGGUAGUCCACGCCCUAAACGAUGUCAACUAGUUGUUGGGGAUUCAUUUCCUUAGUAACGUAGCUAACGCGUGAAGUCGACCGCCUGGGGAGUACGGUCGCAAGAUUAAAACUCAAAUGAAUUGACGGGG